CUUGGAAAGAGAACUUGCCUUAUUGGACAGUGGAUGGAAGAAUCAGGAUUACCACAUGGAAACCAAGUUUUCUGGCAAGAAGAAAAAGUAGUAGAACAAAAGUGCAUCCAACACUCUUGCUUAGACCUAACCUUUGGUUCCAGCACGCUGAGACCUAAGAUCAUCAAAACCCUUCCUUGACUU
RNAcentral lists this long non-coding RNA (183 nucleotides) under Mus spicilegus (steppe mouse). RNAcentral describes it as "lncRNA (ENSMSIG00000007950.1)". The record is from RNAcentral. Lineage: Eukaryota; Metazoa; Chordata; Mammalia; Rodentia; Muridae.